This 450-nucleotide ribosomal RNA is filed under the name uncultured Glomus. RNAcentral's name for it is "SSU rRNA". It matches the Rfam family "Eukaryotic small subunit ribosomal RNA", at positions 569 to 1024 of the family's 1831-position model. Lineage: Eukaryota; Fungi; Glomeromycota; Glomeromycetes; Glomerales; Glomeraceae. The record is from RNAcentral.
AGCAGCCGCGGUAAUUCCAGCUCCAAUAGCGUAUAUUAAAGUUGUUGCAGUUAAAAAGCUCGUAGUUGAAUUUCGGGGUCAGUAGGCUGGUCGUGCCACAGGUAUGCACUGGUUUCACUGAUUCCUCCUUCCUGAUGAACCGUAAUGCCAUUAAUUUGGUGUUGCGGGGAAUCUGGACUGUUACUUUGAAAAAUUAGAGUGUUUAAAGCAGGCUAACGCUUGAAUACAUUAGCAUGGAAUAAUGAAAUAGGACGAUCGAUCCUAUUUUGUUGGUUUCUAGGAUUGACGUAAUGAUUAAUAGGGAUAGUUGGGGGCAUUAGUAUUCAAUUGUCAGAGGUGAAAUUCUUGGAUUUAUUGAAGACUAACUACUGCGAAAGCAUUUGCCAAGGAUGUUUUCAUUAAUCAAGAACGAAAGUUAGGGGAUCGAAGACGAUCAGAUACCGUCGUAGU